GUUCCUACGGGGGGCAGCAGUGGGGAAUAUUGCACAAUGGGGGAAACCCUGAUGCAGCGACGCCGCGUGAGUGAAGAAGUAUUUCGGUAUGUAAAGCUCUAUCAGCAGGGAAGAAAAUGACGGUACCUGACUAAGAAGCCCCGGCUAACUACGUGCCAGCAGCCGCGGUAAUACGUAGGGGGCAAGCGUUAUCCGGAUUUACUGGGUGUAAAGGGAGCGUAGACGGUAGAGCAAGUCUGAAGUGAAAGCCCGCGGCUCAACGGCGGGGCUGCUU
Molecule: ribosomal RNA, 274 nt
Filed under: uncultured bacterium
Lineage: Bacteria
Description: partial 16S ribosomal RNA
Rfam family: Bacterial small subunit ribosomal RNA
Source: RNAcentral